RNAcentral lists this ribosomal RNA (713 nucleotides) under uncultured Pseudomonadota bacterium. RNAcentral describes it as "bacterial SSU rRNA". It matches the Rfam family "Bacterial small subunit ribosomal RNA", at positions 77 to 767 of the family's 1533-position model. The record is from RNAcentral. Lineage: Bacteria; Pseudomonadati; Pseudomonadota.
CCUUCGGGGCUGAGUAGAGCGGCGGACGGGUGAGUAACACGUGAGUGAUCUACCUUGAGGCGGGGGACAACCCAGGGAAACCUGGGCUAAUACCGCAUACAGCGGCGGGUGUAGAGGCCCGUCGUGAAAGCUGGCCUAUCCUUGGAAGCUAGCGCCUCUAGAUGAGCUCGCGGCCUAUCAGCUAGUUGGUGAGGUAACGGCUCACCAAGGCGAUGACGGGUAGCUGGCGUGAGAGCGCGAUCAGCCACACUGGGACUGAGACACGGCCCAGACUCCUACGGGAGGCAGCAGUGGGGAAUCUUGCACAAUGGGCGAAAGCCUGAUGCAGCGACGCCGCGUGGGGGAGGAAGGCCCUAGGGUUGUAAACCCCUGUCAGGUGGGAAGAGCAAGAGGUCGGCGAACAGCCGGUCUCCCCGACGGUACCACCAGAGGAAGCUCCGGCUAACUCCGUGCCAGCAGCCGCGGUAAAACGGAGGGAGCAAGCGUUGUCCGGAAUUACUGGGCGUAAAGAGCGCGUAGGCGGCCAUGUAAGUCGUAUGUGAAAGGCCGGGGCUUAACCCCGCGUAUGGCAUACGAUACUGCAUGGCUGGAGACAGGUAGGGGCGAGCGGAAUUCCCGGUGUAGCGGUGGAAUGCGUAGAUAUCGGGAGGAACACCAGUGGCGAAGGCGGCUCGCUAGGCCUGUUCUGACGCUGAAGCGCGAAAGCGUGGGGA